Molecule: ribosomal RNA, 203 nt
Filed under: uncultured Thermovirga sp.
Lineage: Bacteria; Thermotogati; Synergistota; Synergistia; Synergistales; Thermovirgaceae
Description: partial 16S ribosomal RNA
Rfam family: Bacterial small subunit ribosomal RNA
Source: RNAcentral
ACGUCAAGUCAUCAUGGCCCUUAUGUCCAGGGCGACACACGUGCUACAAUGGCCGGCACAGCGGGAAGCGGAGGGGCGACCUGAGCGGAUCCCUUGAAAGCCGGUCCCAGUUCGGAGUUGCAGUCUGCAACUCGACUGCAUGAAGUUGGAAUCGCUAGUAAUCGCGGAUCAGCCAAGCCGCGGUGAAUACGUUCCCGGGCCUU